GACGAACGCUGGCGGCGUGCUUAACACAUGCAAGUCGAACGGUGACGAGGAGCUUGCUCCUCCGAUCAGUGGCGAACGGGUGAGUAACACGUGAGUAACCUGCCCCAGACUCUGGGAUAACAGUUGGAAACAGCUGCUAAUACCGGAUACGAGACGGAGAGGCAUCUCUACCGUCUGGAAAGUUUUCGGUCUGGGAUGGACUCGCGGCCUAUCAGCUAGUUGGUGAGGUAACGGCUCACCAAGGCUAAGACGGGUAGCCGGCCUGAGAGGGUGUACGGCCACACUGGAAUUGAGAUACGGUCCAGACUCCUACGGGAGGCAGCAGUGGGGAAUCUUGGGCAAUGGGCGAAAGCCUGACCCAGCGACGCCGCGUUGGGGAUGAAGCCCUUCGGGGCGUAAACCCAUGUUGUAGGGGACGAAGAAAGUGACGGUACCCUACGAGAAAGCCCCGGCCAACUACGUG
Molecule: ribosomal RNA, 463 nt
Filed under: uncultured bacterium
Lineage: Bacteria
Description: bacterial SSU rRNA
Rfam family: Bacterial small subunit ribosomal RNA
Source: RNAcentral